GUCAAACACAAAGCGAUCUCUGCUGAUUCCACCAUUGCUCUGAAGGACUCUGAGGCCACAUGCGUCACCAACCACUGUAAGCUGUGAGCUUUCCUCUGACUGGCCAUCAGGUCUGAUGUUGAAGGACAGCUGAUGUAGAAUUGUCAGCGGGCUCCGCCACAGAAUCUUCUGCUCCAAACUCCCACUGGUGGGGUUCAUGAACUGAAUGAAUGGACAGCACGAUCGACUGUCCGUCCUCUUCAUUGCCGGACUGUUGCUCAGCACAGAUUCAAGAGGGGAUCUUAAAGCAUGAAUGAAAACUACUUUUAUCGUCACUUGCCAUUGAUACUUCAGGGGAGCCUAAGCAGAGGCAAGAUCUUUACACAGAGAACAUGCACACACAACUUGGACUGCUAACAAAUGGUGAGUGUUUUUACCUCCUGUAACUGC
Phyllopteryx taeniolatus (common seadragon) is the source of this 429-nucleotide long non-coding RNA. RefSeq lists it as uncharacterized. Lineage: Eukaryota; Metazoa; Chordata; Actinopteri; Syngnathiformes; Syngnathidae. The record is from RefSeq and is a predicted model, not a curated record. The transcript is spliced from 4 exons.